Molecule: unclassified non-coding RNA, 338 nt
Filed under: soil metagenome
Description: partial contains 5.8S ribosomal RNA, internal transcribed spacer 2, and large subunit ribosomal RNA
Rfam family: 5.8S ribosomal RNA (bases 1-120)
Source: RNAcentral
GAUGAAGAACGUAGCGAAAUGCGAUAACUAAUGUGAAUUGCAGAAUUCCGUGAAUCAUCGAGUCUUUGAACGCACAUUGCGCCCCUUGGUAUUCCAUGGGGCAUGCCUGUUCGAGCGUCAUCUACACCCUCAAGCUCUGCUUGGUGUUGGGCGUCUGUCCCGCCCCCGCGCGUGGACUCGCCCCAAAUCCAUUGGCAGCGUUCCUUGCCCCCUCUCGCGCAGCACAUUGCGCUUCUCGAGGGCGGCUCCGGGACGCGAUCCAGCAAGAUGACCACCGUCUUUGACCUCGGAUCAGGUAGGGAUACCCGCUGAACUUAAGCAUAUCAAUAAGCGGAGGA